RNAcentral lists this long non-coding RNA (1353 nucleotides) under Capsicum annuum. RNAcentral's name for it is "long non-coding RNA (CANN_LNC000482)". The record is from RNAcentral. Lineage: Eukaryota; Viridiplantae; Streptophyta; Magnoliopsida; Solanales; Solanaceae.
AUAAUUGUCGUUAUUUUUUAAUAACUCAGAUCAAAAUUCAAUAAAGACGUUCUAUAAUGUAGUUUUCAUCAACUGAAAAUUCUUAUCUUCAUGAGCUUCAAAAAUUCAAAAUAAAUCAUCACUGGUGUUAUAGGUAUUGAAUCAAAAAAUUAUUUUCUUAUAUGAAUUUUAGCAACUUAAAAGAUCCAAUAUUAUUUGUUAUCAUUUUUAUGUCUUUAAUCGUUUUUUCAUCAAUUUUUUCAGCAAAUAGUUUUUUGAAUAUUUCGUAUAUGAAUUUAAAAAAGCAAACGUGACUGUACUAUUUCAUCAAAUUAGAUGAAAAUCAAAUCGAUUGAGUUAUUUUUUGGUCAAAUUCGAUUUUAUUACGUUAAAUAGUAACUUAUAAGUUUUUUUCGAAUUUCAUCGAAUUGUAUAGUCGAUUAGUGUUUUUGUAUAUUCGAAAUAGUGAAAUUGUAAUCUUUUGAUUUUUUUUGUAUAUAUUGUUUGCUUUUGUAUAUGUUGAUUAUGUUUGUAUAUUUAUAACUUUGUUUGUAUAUCCUAAUGUGUAAAUGUAUAUUAUCAUUCAUUUAUUAUAAUUUAUUUGUAUAUUUUCUAUGAAUUUGCAUAUUUUAGAAAUAAAUUGUAUAUUAUAUUAGCAUUUGUAUAAUUAAAAUUGUGUUAUAUAUUUUAAUUGCAGUUUUGAAUUAAUGCUUAUAUUUGUAAUCAAAAUUAUUGUAUUUGUAAUUUGAAAUUUUUUAUAACAUUUUUAUAUGAAAGGAUUGGCAAUGGGAAUCAUCCAUGUUCUUGUGAAGUACUCUGGGAGAUGGACAUAUGAACAAACAUUGUGAAGAAUGCAUCACUAACGCUAUGUUGUUGAGCACAAAUGUAUCAUACAAUCAACUAUACAAUCUUCUGACAUCUCAUAUUAAUGUGAAUUUGAAUAGCAAAAGUAUUUAAAUUGAAUAUCAAAUAACCAGUAGAGCAGGGCAAACACGUAUGCAUAAUGACAUGGGUUUAAAGGUGUAUUCAUAUCUUUGUUUGAAAAAUACACGUGUAGUUGCCUAUAUGUAUUAACAAAGGCAAUGACCAAUAUAAUUUUAUAUGUACUUUUUGUAUGUAUUUGAUAAAUAUGUAGUUAAUACACGUGGUUACCUAUAUGUAUUUGCUAAAAAUGUGAUAAAUUCUUAAAUAACAAUCUAGUUGAAUGUAUGUAUUUACAAACUUUGUUUAAAAACACAUAUACAGAUGGCUUUAUAUAUUUCUACCUUUGCUUGAAAGAUACAUAUAUAGAUGCCUAUUUGUAUUAGUAAUUACAAUUAACUACUUAAUUUUAUUUGUAUUCGCUAAAUAUGCGAUUAAUACAUGUGGUUACCU